GAGACAGCGGAGAUUCAUUACCCGUCGACACAAUGACCAUUGAUGGCCCCGUGGCGUUAUUCAAAUCCAGUACCAAUUGCAGCCGAGCCCCUUUCUCUGCGCCAGGCCCGUAUUGUUGGAGCGGCCCACUAAAAGCCCGCCCCGGCCCCAAGCAGCCAGAGGCGCCCGCUCGGGUUCAGCCCUGCGCCUCGCCAGCACGCCGGCUCCCAGUCCGGCUCCCUGGGCGCUGCAGGUGACCCGGCGGCACAUUCCGGCGCUCCCCGCUGCCCCGGCUACCACCACCCGCGACUCAGCUACAAGGAAGCAGAGAGCGCCCGAGCCGCCAACCAACCCCUCCCAUAAGCUCCUCUGGACCGACUGGAUGGGCUGUGCCUCCCGCUGCUGCCAUGAAACUGAGAAGCUGGGGAACGAUGCGCUCCAGCCGGGCAAUCGCCACGGCUUGGGAAAUAAGAACUUGGACAAAUUAAUCCUUUUCAUUAAAAAAAAAAAUCUUCGG
Molecule: long non-coding RNA, 496 nt
Filed under: Rattus norvegicus (Norway rat)
Lineage: Eukaryota; Metazoa; Chordata; Mammalia; Rodentia; Muridae
Description: long non-coding RNA NONRATT019123
Source: RNAcentral